AUUGAACGCUGGCGGAAUGCUUUACACAUGCAAGUCGAACGGCAGCACGGACUUCGGUCUGGUGGCGAGUGGCGAACGGGUGAGUAAUACAUCGGAACGUGCCCAGUCGUGGGGGAUAACGUAGCGAAAGCUACGCUAAUACCGCAUACGAUCUACGGAUGAAAGCGGGGGACCGUAAGGCCUCGCGCGAUUGGAGCGGCCGAUGUUAGAUUAGGUAGUUGGUGGGGUAAAGGCUCACCAAGCCGACGAUCUAUAGCUGGUCUGAGAGGAUGAUCAGCCACACUGGGACUGAGACACGGCCCAGACUCCUACGGGAGGCAGCAGUGGGGAAUUUUGGACAAUGGGCGCAAGCCUGAUCCAGCCAUUCCGCGUGCAGGACGAAGGCCUUCGGGUUGUAAACUGCUUUUGUACAGAACGAAAAGCCUUGGGUUAAUACCCUGGGGUCAUGACGGUACUGUAAGAAUAAGCACCGGCUAACUACGUG
RNAcentral lists this ribosomal RNA (484 nucleotides) under uncultured bacterium. Its description in RNAcentral is "bacterial SSU rRNA". It matches the Rfam family "Bacterial small subunit ribosomal RNA", at positions 30 to 507 of the family's 1533-position model. The record is from RNAcentral.